CUUUCAACAACGGAUCUCUUGGUUCCAGCAUCGAUGAAGAACGCAGCGAAAUGCGAUAAGUAAUGUGAAUGGCAGAAUUCAGUGAAUCAUCGAAUCUUUGAACGCACAUUGCGCCCCUUGGUAUUCCGAGGGG
Molecule: ribosomal RNA, 133 nt
Filed under: Mycoblastus affinis
Lineage: Eukaryota; Fungi; Ascomycota; Lecanoromycetes; Lecanorales; Mycoblastaceae
Description: 5.8S ribosomal RNA
Rfam family: 5.8S ribosomal RNA
About the family: 5.8S ribosomal RNA (5.8S rRNA) is a component of the large subunit of the eukaryotic ribosome. It is transcribed by RNA polymerase I as part of the 45S precursor that also contains 18S and 28S rRNA. Functionally, it is thought that 5.8S rRNA may be involved in ribosome translocation.
Source: RNAcentral